CGACGUAGCUCAGUUGGUAGAGCAAUGGUUUUGUAAACCAUCGGUCGAAGGUUCAAGUCCUUUCGUCGG
Molecule: transfer RNA, 69 nt
Filed under: bovine gut metagenome
Rfam family: tRNA
About the family: Transfer RNA (tRNA) molecules are approximately 80 nucleotides in length. Their secondary structure includes four short double-helical elements and three loops (D, anti-codon, and T loops).
Source: RNAcentral